RNAcentral lists this ribosomal RNA (775 nucleotides) under uncultured bacterium. Its description in RNAcentral is "bacterial SSU rRNA". It matches the Rfam family "Bacterial small subunit ribosomal RNA", at positions 9 to 795 of the family's 1533-position model. The record is from RNAcentral.
GAUUUUGAUCCUGGCUCAGGAUGAACGCUGGCGGCGUGCUUAACACAUGCAAGUCGAACGAUGAUCCGGUGCUUGCACCGGGGAUUAGUGGCGAACGGGUGAGUAACACGUGAGUAACCUGCCCUUAACUCUGGGAUAAGCCUGGGAAACUGGGUCUAAUACCGGAUAUGACUCCUCAUCGCAUGGUGGGGGGUGGAAAGCUUUAUUGUGGUUUUGGAUGGACUCGCGGCCUAUCAGCUUGUUGGUGAGGUAAUGGCUCACCAAGGCGACGACGGGUAGCCGGCCUGAGAGGGUGACCGGCCACACUGGGACUGAGACACGGCCCAGACUCCUACGGGAGGCAGCAGUGGGGAAUAUUGCACAAUGGGCGCAAGCCUGAUGCAGCGACGCCGCGUGAGGGAUGACGGCCUUCGGGUUGUAAACCUCUUUCAGUAGGGAAGAAGCGAAAGUGACGGUACCUGCAGAAGAAGCGCCGGCUAACUACGUGCCAGCAGCCGCGGUAAUACGUAGGGCGCAAGCGUUAUCCGGAAUUAUUGGGCGUAAAGAGCUCGUAGGCGGUUUGUCGCGUCUGCCGUGAAAGUCCGGGGCUCAACUCCGGAUCUGCGGUGGGUACGGGCAGACUAGAGUGAUGUAGGGGAGACUGGAAUUCCUGGUGUAGCGGUGAAAUGCGCAGAUAUCAGGAGGAACACCGAUGGCGAAGGCAGGUCUCUGGGCAUUAACUGACGCUGAGGAGCGAAAGCAUGGGGAGCGAACAGGAUUAGAUACCCUGGUAGUC